This 422-nucleotide ribosomal RNA is filed under the name uncultured bacterium. Its description in RNAcentral is "bacterial SSU rRNA". It matches the Rfam family "Bacterial small subunit ribosomal RNA", at positions 355 to 774 of the family's 1533-position model. The record is from RNAcentral.
UGAGGAAUAUUGGGCAAUGCCCGCAAGGGUGACCCAGCAACGCCGCGUGGAGGAUGAAUGUCGUAAGAUUGUAAACUCCUGUUAGAGGGGAAGAAUAGUACCGGUUGGACCGGUAUAUGACUGUACCCUCAGAGAAAGCCCCGGCUAACUACGUGCCAGCAGCCGCGGUAAUACGUAGGGGGCAAGCGUUGUCCGGAUUUACUGGGUGUAAAGGGCGCGCAGGCGGGAUAAAAAGUCAGUGGUGAAAUCCUACAGCUUAACUGUAGAACUGCCUUUGAUACUUUUAGUCUUGAGUUCGGGAGAGAGAGACGGAAUUCCAGGUGUAGUGGUGAAAUACGUAGAUAUCCGGAGGAACACCAGUGGCGAAAGCGGCUUCCUGUACUGUAACUGACGCUCAGACGCGAAAGCUAGGGUAGCAAACG